AAAAAAAAAAAAAAAGUCAUAAUGAAGAGAAAAUAUAUUCACUAUUAAAGGUCUUUAUCCUUUUCAUCUUCACGUUGAGUAAGCUGAGGACGAAGAAGAAGGGUGGGUCUUGCUGUCUUGGGGUGGCAGAGGCAAAAGAAAGUUUGAUAGUGGACCCACAUAGCUCAAACCCAUGUUGUUCAAGAGUCAUCUGUACUUUAAAUGGAUUAAACCCUCCAAAAGUAGACUUUGGUGGAAUGAAUGAAAACACAUCAUCUAAUAAUUGCCGUCUACAAGAGACUCACUUUGUAUCCAAAGACACAAAUAGGUUGAAAGUGAAAAGAUAGAAAAGCAUAAUCCAUGUAAAUAAUAACCAGGAUGCUUAUACUAAUAUCAGACAAAAUGAACUAAAUUUAAAAAGGUUAUAGGGAAGAUGCAGGAAUGACAUCAGCAAGAUGGCAGACUAGAGAUACCUGGCAUUCGUCUUCCCUAUAAGAGAGAAUAAAUACAAGGAAUAAACAGCCAAGAUUUGACAGGAGUGUCAAAGAAAGAUCAGUGGAGUGCAGCAGUGGAGUGGAGAAACACCUAUUGGUGAUAGGAAGUUCAGAAGGGCAGCAUAAAGGCAGCCAGUCUCUGCAGUCCUGUCUCCCUUCCAUUCCCCAGGAUUGAAUCAGCCUGGAGUCAGGAGAGAACUUCCUGUUGUGAGUAGCAGGUAAGCAGAAGAUCUCCAUUAAUCCCCAUUGCCACUGCAAACAUCUUACAGCAGUAUAGUUGUUAGAACAGGAGAAUCCCACAGUCUCCAUUUGGAUAGCUACCAGGAGAUCAUGGAGCUGCAUUGCCCCAGUUAAGAGCAUAAGGUGUGCACGCCCCAUACUUCACCCACCUCCUAUGAGCCAUGCUCCUGAAGCAUGGUGCCAUCUUGAGACCAGGGGCACCUCUGAAGUGUGCCCUUCUCUGGGGGCACAUAGUCACUGCAUCUGUCUAACACUGGGGCUCCAUCUUCAUUCCUCCAAACCUAUACCAGUGGCUAAACACCACAGCCUCAGCAACACAAAAUCUGGACCCAAGAUUGGCUAUAACAUUGAUCCUGCAAAGCAUGAAAACCAACUCCCACUACCCUCACUUCCAGCCAGAGGAACAGUCUGGCAGUCUCACCCAGGGUGUACCUACCCAUGAGCUGGCCAAAUAGCCACAUGCCCAUCUUCAUAUGGGAGAGGCCUCAAGCCUCUGAACAGCUGACAUUCUCAGGCUGGCAGAACAGCUAUGUGAUUACACCCUGAGAAACAACACUGAGGUGCCCCACCCUCUACAGAAAAGUCCCUGACCUGCCAGUUGGCCCCAUGCCCACAACAAGAGCCUGAGAAACAUCUCUGCAGGCUGGCCCUGGCAGAAGCACCCCCAGGUCGGCCAAGCAGCUUUGCACCCAUGCCCCAGGCCUAAGAAGUAGCUCUACAUGCUGCCUCUGGCAAGGAGCCCCCAGGCUGCCUACACAGCUAUGUGCCAGCAUCCCAGGCCUGAGAGGCAAUCUUAGGAGCAUAAGGUGUGCAUUCCUCAUACCCCACCAACCCCCUAUGACCCAAGAAACACCCCCAGGCCUAAGAAGCAACUUUGCAGUUCACCCCUGGCAGGCCUGCCUCUAGACCAACCAAAUAGCCUUGCACCUGUGUACCAGAACUGCAAAACAGCCCUGUGGGCCACACCUGGAAAACACACCCCCAAACCAGUUAAGUAGCUUUUGGCCUGCAUCAUGGCCCUGAGAAGCAACCCUGCGAUCCACCUCCAGUGGACACAUCUCCAGGCCAACUGAGCAGCUAUGUGUCUGUGUCUCAAGUCUGAGAAACAGCCUCAUGGGUCGCUACCCAGCAGACAUAACCCAAGGCCAGCUGAACAGCUUAUACCACAUCCCAAGCCUGAGAAACAGCCAUCCUGUGGAUCGCCCCCAGCAAAAAUGCCUUUAGGCCCGCUGAGGAGCCAUGUACCUGCAUAUCAUGUCAGAGAAACAACCCCACAGGCAACCCCUGGUGGGCAUACUCCCAGGCUCAAUGAACAGACCUAUGCUUGUUCUUCCAGCCAAAGUAACUUAUGGCCACAGGAAAAGCAGUAGUAAAUGGCAAGUUUAUAGCAAUAAAUGCCUACAUCAAAAAAUGAGAAAGAGUUCUAAUAAACAACCUAACAAUGCACUAGAAAAGCAAGAACAAACCAAAACUUUGUAAAAGAAAUAAUAAAGAUCAGAGCAGAGAUAAAUGAAAUUGAGACUGAAAAAAUACAGAGGAUCAGUGAAACAAAAAGUUGAUUUUUUGAAAAGAUAAAAUCAACACACCAAUAGCUAUUCCCACACCAUUGGGAAAAAAGAAAGAAGACCCAAAUAAAUAAAAUCAGAAAUGAAAAAGGAGACAUCACAACAGAUACCACAGAAAUACAGAAGAUUAUUAGAGACAACUAUGAACGAGUAUAUGACAAUAAAUUUGAAAACCUAGAGGAAAUGGAUACAUUCCUGGACACAUACCUACCAAGAUCAAACCAAAAAGAAAUAGAAAACCUUGAAUAGACCAAUAAGUAAAAAGGUUGAAUCAGUAAUAAAAAGUAUUCCAACAAUGUAAAGUUCAGGACCAGAUGGCUUCAUUGCUGAAUUCUACCCAACACUUAAAGAGGAAUUAAUACCAAUUCCUCUCAAACUACUCCAAAGAAUGGAAGCAGAGGAAAUUCUGUCUCUUUCUAUGAGGCCAGCAUAACAUUGACAUAAAAACCAGCCAAGGAUACAACAAUAAAAACCCCCUACAGACCAGUAUCUCUGAUGAACAUGGACACAGAAAUACUCAACAAAAUACUAGCAAAUUGAGCCCAACAGGGCAUCAACAACAACAAUAGAAAGUCCUCCAUGACCAAGUGGAAUUUAGCCCAAAAAUGCAGGAAUGGUUCAGUAUACACAAGUCAAUAAACGUCAUACAUCACAUCCAUAGAAUAAAGGAUGAAAACCAUAUGAUCAUCUCAAUAGAUAUAGAAAAAGCUUUUGAUAAAAUUUGACAUUGUUCAUGAUAAAACUCUUAAUAAAUUAGGUAUAGAAGGUUAAUACCUAAAUAUGUAAAGGCCACAUAUGACAAACCCACAGCUAACACCUUACUGAAUGGGUGAGAAGCUGAAAGCCUUUUCUGUCAGAACUGGAACAAGACAGGAGUGUCUACUCUUACCACUUCUAUUCAGCAUACUACCGGAAGUUCUAAGAGUGAUUAGGCAAGGAAAAAAAAAUGCAUCCAAAUUGGAAACAGGGAAGUCAAAUUGUCCCUGUUUUCAGAUGAUGUAAUCUUAUAGGUAGAAAAACCAGGAGCAUAUAUUCAGGGGAAGUUGGAUCUGUGCUCUCAGGAAAUAAAAUGUUAUUAUUAAAAAAGGAAAUAAGAAAAAUCUAAAGACCAUACCAAAAAUACUCUUAGAACUGUAAAUGAGUUCAGUAAAGUUGCAGGAUACAAAAUUUAUAUAUUAAAAUCAGUAUUAUUUCUAUACAUGAACAAUAAAACUAGCUGACAGAGAAAUCAAGAAAGCAAUCCCAUUUACAAUAGCUCCUCAAAAUUAAUUUAACUAAGGAGGUGAAAGACUCUACGUGGAAAACUGCAAAGCACUGAUGAAAGAAAUUGAAGAGGAUACACAAAAAUGGAAAGUCAUUCCAAGCUCAUGGAUCAGAUGAAUAUCAUUAAAAUGACCAUGUUGCCCAAAGCGAUCUACAGAUUGAAUGCAGUAUCUAUCAAAAUACCAAUUACAUUCUUCACAGAUAUAGAAAAUAAGAAACAAAAUUUAUAUGAACCCACAAAAGACCCCAAAUAGCUAAACCAAUCCUGAGCAAAAAUAACAAAGCUGUACAUGUAACACUACCAGACCUCAAAGUGUAUGACAAAACUAUUCUUACGAAAACAGCAUGGUACUAGCAUAAAAACAGACACAUAGACCAUUGAAAUAGAAUAGAGAACCCAGAAAUUAAUUCACAUAUCCACAGUGAACUGAUCUGUGACAAAGACGCCAAGGACACGCACUGGGGAAAGAUAGUUUCUUCAAUUAAUUGUGCUGGGAAAACUGAAUAUUCUGGAACUAGACUGCCACCUCUCAAAAUGGAUCGAAGACUUAAAUGUAAGACCUGAAGCGUUGAAACUGCUAGUAGAGAGACUAGCGAACAAUACAGUCAGGAUGGCUAAAGGUGACCCAAAGAAACCAAAGGGCAAGAUGUCUGCUUAUGCCUUCUUUGUGCAGACGUGCAGAGAAGAACAUAAGAAGAAAAACCCAGAGGUCCCUGUGAACUUUGCAGAAUUUUCCAAGAAGUGCUCUGAGAGGUGGAAGACGAUGUCCGGGAAAGAGAAAUCUAAAUUUGAUGAAAUGGCAAAGGCAGAUAAAGUGCGCUAUGACCAGGAAAUGAAGGAUUAUGGACCAGCUAAGGGAGGCAAGAAGAAGGAGAAUCCUAAUGCUCCCAAAAGGCCACCGUCUGGAUUCUUCCUGUUCUGUUCAGAAUUCCGUCCCAAGAUCAAAUCCACAAACCCCGGCAUCUCUAUUGGAGACGUGGCAAAAAAGCUGGGUGAGAUGUGGAAUAAUUUAAAUGACAGUGAAAAGCAGCCUUACAUCACUAAGGCAGCAAAGCUGAAGAAGUAUGAGAAGGAUGUUGCUGACUGUAAGUCAAAAGGGAAGUUUGAUGGUGCAAAGGGUCCUGCUAAAGUUGCCCGGAAAAAGGUGGAAGAGGAAGAUGAAGAAGAGGAGGAGGAGGAAGAGGAGGAGGAGGAGGAGGAGGAUGAAUAAAGAAACUGUUUAUCUAUAUAUAAAAAAAAAAAAGAAACUGCUAGUAGAAGACAUAGUGAAAACACUUCAGAACAUUGACAGGGAAAAGAUUGUGUGAAUAAGACCUCAAAUGCGUAGUCAGCAAAAGCAUAAAUAAACAAAUGUGAUUACAUCAAACCAAAAAGCUUCUGCACAGCAAAGAAAACAGCAAAGUGAAAAGACAACCUACAGAAUGGAAGAAAAUAUUUACAAACUACUCAUUCAGUGGGGGUUUAAUACCCAGAAUAUAAAAGAAACUGAAACAUCCCAAUAGCCAAAAAACAAUUAAAUUCAAAUAUGGGCAAAUGACCUGAACAGAUAUUUCUCAAUAGAAGACAUACAAAUGACCAACAAAUAUAUUUUUUUACGUGUCCAACAUUACUAAUCAUGAGGGAAAUGCAAAUCAAGAUCAUAAAGAGGUAAUCAUCUCUUUCCAGUUAAGAUGGCUGCUUUAUCAAAAAGACAAAAUAAAUAAAUAAAUGAAUAAAUAAAUAAAUAAAUGCUGGAGAGGAUGCAGAGAAAAGGAAAUUCUUAGAUACUGUUGAUGGGAAUGCAAGCCACUAUAGCCACUGUGGAGAACACUAUGGAGGUCUCACAAAAAUUAAAUAGAAUUACCAUAUGAUCCAGCAAUCCUACUACUGAGUGUUUAUCCACAGAGAAACAAAUUAUUAUAUUGGAGAUAUCUAUACCAUCAUGUUUAUUGCAGCACUGUUCACGUUAGCCAAGGUAUAGAUUCAACCUAGUUGUCCAAAAACAGAUGAAUUGUUAAAGAAAAUGUGGUAUAUGUGUGUCAUGGAAUACUAUUUAGCUAGAAAAGAAAAGAAUGAAAUCCUGUCAUUCAUGGCAAUAUAGAUGGAAUUGGAUGAUAUUAUGUUAUCUGAAAUAAGCCAGGAACAGAAAGUGAAACACUGCAUGUUCUCACUCAAAUGUGGAAGCUAAAAGUAAAAAAAAAAAAAA
This is an RNA transcript of Piliocolobus tephrosceles (Ugandan red Colobus), 5727 nucleotides long. It is a transcript of the gene named high mobility group protein B3 pseudogene, with no coding region annotated. NCBI's taxonomy places the organism in Eukaryota, Metazoa, Chordata, Mammalia, Primates, Cercopithecidae. The transcript has a single exon. The record is from RefSeq and is a predicted model, not a curated record.